CCUACGGGAGGCUGCAGUGGGGAAUAUUGCACAAUGGGCGCAAGCCUGAUGCAGCCAUGCCGCGUGUGUGAAGAAGGCCUUCGGGUUGUGAAGCACUUUCAGCGGGGAGGAAGGCGGUGAGGUUAAUAACCUCAUCGAUUGACGUUACCCGCAGAAGAAGCACCGGCUAACUCCGUGCCAGCAGCCGCGGUAAUACGGAGGGUGCAAGCGUUAAUCGGAAUUACUGGGCGUAAAGCGCACGCAGGCGGUCUGUCAAGUCGGAUGUGAAAUCCCCGGGCUCAACCUGGGAACUGCAUUCGAAACUGGCAGGCUAGAGUCUUGUAGAGGGGGGUAGAAUUCCAGGUGUAGCGGUGAAAUGCGUAGAGAUCUGGAGGAAUACCGGUGGCGAAGGCGGCCCCCUGGACAAAGACUGACGCUCAGGUGCGAAAGCGUGGGGAGCAAACAGGAUUAGAUACCCGAGUAGUC
This 465-nucleotide ribosomal RNA is filed under the name uncultured Klebsiella sp. RNAcentral's name for it is "bacterial SSU rRNA". It matches the Rfam family "Bacterial small subunit ribosomal RNA", at positions 338 to 795 of the family's 1533-position model. The record is from RNAcentral. Lineage: Bacteria; Pseudomonadati; Pseudomonadota; Gammaproteobacteria; Enterobacterales; Enterobacteriaceae.